GCGGACAUGGCGGAAUUGGCAGACGCGCUAGACUUAGAAUCUAGUUCUCAGGAGUGGGGGUUCAAGUCCCCCUGUCCGCA
Molecule: transfer RNA, 80 nt
Filed under: Eubacterium sp.
Lineage: Bacteria; Bacillati; Bacillota; Clostridia; Eubacteriales; Eubacteriaceae
Also listed under: 3 other names
Description: tRNA-Leu
Rfam family: tRNA
About the family: Transfer RNA (tRNA) molecules are approximately 80 nucleotides in length. Their secondary structure includes four short double-helical elements and three loops (D, anti-codon, and T loops).
Source: RNAcentral